Homo sapiens (human) is the source of this 1020-nucleotide long non-coding RNA. RefSeq lists it as uncharacterized. The transcript has 3 exons. The record is from RefSeq and is a predicted model, not a curated record. NCBI's taxonomy places the organism in Eukaryota, Metazoa, Chordata, Mammalia, Primates, Hominidae.
AGCAAACAGGCCCGCAGCCCUCUGCCACUGCCAGUCCGUGUGGCUGCCCGGCUCCCUGCAGGGCGCCCUCGCUGGCUGACGGAUACCCGCGUGCUCUCAUUUCUUCCUGCCCGGGUCUCCUAUUUAUUUAGCCUGGAGUAACCCCUGCUGUUGCCUCUGCUCAGCUGGGAGCUAGCAUCCUCUGUGCUUGGCCCUGCAACCUUGGGAUUCUAGUCCCCGUGUUCCUCUGUCUUUCCAGGCUCUUGUCCAGUGUGAGCCCAAGGGACCCAUCAUUCAGGCUGCGGUGUGGACUGAGCACCCGGGGCCAGUGCUGCUGAGUGUUGAGCUCUCUCCCCUGCUUCCUGUUUCCUCCCCUGCAAACUCGGGUGAGCCCACCUCUCUGGAGGGGCCAGGCUAGGAGCAGACAAGGCCCUGUGUGCACAGUUUGAAUGACACCAGCACACACCGUGGGCGCUGGAGAAGACCAGAUGAGGUGAUCCGCGGGUGUGGGCUCCUGGAGGGACCAGGCCUGCUUCCGUCCCAACACUGCUCCUGUCACAGAGAAAGGACCAGAAUAAGACUGACUCUAUCCCCUGUCCCCAUCGCUGGGCAUCUGAUCUUCUCCGCGCCCAGUCCAAGGAUCGUCUGCAUGCCUUCCCUUCUCCCUCUCCCUCUCUGAAGGGAGCGAAGCAGCUCAAAUUCGGUUACCCUAAUGGGUCCAAAUGAAAAGGCGUGUGUCACAGCUGAUGAGUCGUCUGAGAGCUUGGUCAGUGGAGGCCGCCAUCUUCCUGCCUGUGCACAGCAGCUGCACAUGUGCCCAGGUCUCCCAGGAGACCUGGGACGCUCCCCCAGCUGGGGAGAGCCCCCACCCCUGCACUACGAUGGGCCCCGGCUCCCUGCUCUGGCCCUGAACUCAUACCAGGGGAAAACCCAAAGCAGGGACACAGCUGGCUUGAGUGAUGCUGAGCACCCCGUCAUGGGAGACAUUCGAGAAGAAGCUGGAUGACUAGAGCAGAGAGGAAGGGGAGGGUGGGAGGUCGA